AACGAACGCUGGCGGCAGGCCUAACACAUGCAAGUCGAGCGCGCCCUUCGGGGUUAGCGGCGGACGGGUGAGUAACGCGUGGGAACGUGCCCUUCUCUGCGGAAUAGCCUCGGGAAACUGAGAGUAAUACCGCAUACGCCCUUUGGGGGAAAGAUUUAUCGGAGCAGGAUCGGCCCGCGUUGGAUUAGGUAGUUGGUGGGGUAAUGGCCCACCAAGCCGACGAUCCAUAGCUGGUUUGAGAGGAUGAUCAGCCACACUGGGACUGAGACACGGCCCAGCCUCCUACGGGAGGCAGCAGUGGGGAAUCUUAGACAAUGGGGGCAACCCUGAUCGAGCCAUGCCGCGUGAGUGAUGAAGGCCUUAGGGUUGUAAAGCUCUUUCAGCUGGGAAGAUAAUGACGGUACCAGCAGAAGAAGCCCCGGCUAACUACGUG
Molecule: ribosomal RNA, 433 nt
Filed under: uncultured bacterium
Lineage: Bacteria
Description: partial 16S ribosomal RNA
Rfam family: Bacterial small subunit ribosomal RNA
Source: RNAcentral